GGGCUCGAACAAGCGGUGGAGCAUGUGGUUUAAUUCGAUGCUACGCGAAGAACCUUACCAAGGUUAGACUUAUAGCAAGUCCUUUCGAAACAGAGGAGUGCCUUCGGGAAUGCUAUAUCAGGUGGUGCAUGGCUGUCGUCAGCUCGUGUCGUGAGAUGUUGGGUUAAGUCCCGCAACGAGCGCAACCCACGUCUUUAGUUGCCAGCACAUAAUGGUGGGGACUCUAGAGAGACUGCCGGUGCAAACCGUGAGGAAGGUGGGGAUGACGUCAAAUCAUCACGGCCCUUACGUCCUGGGCUACACACGUGCUACAAUGGUAGGGACAGAGAGCAGCCACUUCGCGAGAAGGAGCGAAUCUACAAACCCUAUCUCAGUUCGGAUCGCAGUCUGCAACUCGACUGCGUGAAGCUGGAAUCGCUAGUAAUCG
RNAcentral lists this ribosomal RNA (427 nucleotides) under uncultured bacterium. RNAcentral's name for it is "bacterial SSU rRNA". It matches the Rfam family "Bacterial small subunit ribosomal RNA", at positions 917 to 1344 of the family's 1533-position model. The record is from RNAcentral.